AGGGUUGUGGCUCAGUGGUAGAGCACUAACCUUGCGUGUAUGAGGCACUGGGUUUGAUUCUCAGCACCACAU
This 72-nucleotide transfer RNA is filed under the name Ictidomys tridecemlineatus (thirteen-lined ground squirrel). Its description in RNAcentral is "Spermophilus tridecemlineatus (thirteen-lined ground squirrel) tRNA". It matches the Rfam family "tRNA". Rfam says of the family: Transfer RNA (tRNA) molecules are approximately 80 nucleotides in length. Their secondary structure includes four short double-helical elements and three loops (D, anti-codon, and T loops). Lineage: Eukaryota; Metazoa; Chordata; Mammalia; Rodentia; Sciuridae. The record is from Rfam by way of RNAcentral.